RNAcentral lists this transfer RNA (75 nucleotides) under Gammaproteobacteria bacterium. Its description in RNAcentral is "tRNA-Gln". It matches the Rfam family "tRNA". From Rfam's summary of the family: Transfer RNA (tRNA) molecules are approximately 80 nucleotides in length. The record is from RNAcentral. Lineage: Bacteria; Pseudomonadati; Pseudomonadota; Gammaproteobacteria.
UGGGCCGUCGCCAAGCGGUAAGGCAACGGGUUUUGAUCCCGUCAUGCGCAGGUUCGAUCCCUGCCGGCCCAGCCA